RNAcentral lists this ribosomal RNA (466 nucleotides) under uncultured Pseudomonadota bacterium. RNAcentral describes it as "bacterial SSU rRNA". It matches the Rfam family "Bacterial small subunit ribosomal RNA", at positions 29 to 505 of the family's 1533-position model. The record is from RNAcentral. Lineage: Bacteria; Pseudomonadati; Pseudomonadota.
AACGAACGCUGGCGGCGUGCUUAACACAUGCAAGUCGAACGAGAACGGUUCCUUCGGGAGCUUAGUAAAGUGGCGAACGGGUGAGUAACACGUGAGUAACGUGCCCUUGAGCGGGGGACAACUGGGCGAAAGUCCAGCUAAUACCGCAUAAGACCACAGGAACUUAUGUUCCAGGGGUCAAAGACUUCGGUCGCUCAAGGAUCGGCUCGCGGUUCAUUAGGUAGUUGGUGAGGUAACGGCUCACCAAGCCUCAGAUGAAUAGCUGUUCUGAGAGGAAGAUCAGCCACACUGGGACUGAGACACGGCCCAGACUCCUGCGGGAGGCAGCAGUGGGGAAUCUUGCGCAAUGGGCGAAAGCCUGACGCAGCAACGCCGCGUGUGUGACGAAGGCCUUAGGGUCGUAAAGCACUGUCAAGAGGGAAGAAACAAAUGACGGUACCUCUAGAGGAAGCACCGGCCAAAUUCG